RNAcentral lists this unclassified non-coding RNA (4945 nucleotides) under Hevea brasiliensis (rubber tree). Lineage: Eukaryota; Viridiplantae; Streptophyta; Magnoliopsida; Malpighiales; Euphorbiaceae. The record is from RNAcentral.
CACGGAGUAUUUUUUUCAUAUUUUUCCAAAAUUUUAAACAUAAACAGGGUAGAUAAGCUCCAACAGAAACUUUGUCAAAAAGGAACGGAGUGAAAAUUCUUCGUACUAACUGUUGCAUUGUACACUUUGUUGCUAAUAGCCAUCCUUUUCACUAUGUACAUAUAAAUGAGAUAAACUAGUCAAAAUACCAUAUGAGAAAAACAGGUUAGGUUUUUUUCCUGUACCUUGAACCCCUCCACUGACUCAAAAUUCUUCAAUAAAUAGCCAAAUCAGAACCUAGUUUGGUCUAGACAAGUAAACUGCAGAACUUCCAUCAGCUAAAUCCUGCAAACAUCCCCUUCUGCACUGCAACAACCAUGGGCCUAGAAAAGUAUAUCAUCAAAACCAUUAAAUUCCUAGUUUUCCAAGAUUUCAUGACUAAAUUCCUCGCCAUCUAUUACAUAUUAUAGGAGAACGAAGAAAAAUAAAGAGCGGGCAGUUGAGAGUGUCGGAUGGAAUAGAUUUUGGAGGGAAAAGUUGUUGGGGGUUUGUUGAAGAAUCAGUUGGAAUAACUGAAUGGGUUAAGUAGCAGUUAUGCUACUCUGUUAAAUAGAGAGAAACUCACUUGUAUUCAUUCAUUCUAUUGAUGAAUCAAUAACAGAUUUCUCUUCUCUGUCUGAUUCUAUUUUCUCUUCUCAUCAAAGUCUACUUCUCUUCUCAUCUCUUCUAUUUCUCCUAUUCCUAAAUUCUAUUUCAAUCUCUGCAUUCGGAGAUAGAUUUGAGCUGAUACCUAACAUCAUCCUACUCUUUGCGCAUUUUUUACUGGUCCCCAGACAGGUCCAACUCUUGUUGAUGACAGUUCCUACUCUGGUUGAUCACCAAGUCCAUCAUCCUCUUGCUUCUGUUGUUGUGACUCUUCUUCAACUAGUUGCAGUUCCAGUUGUUGACCAAAUUCAUCAUUUUCAUCGUUAUCGUCCAGCUUAAGCUAUUGAAAGUAUAAUUUUACCUUUUUCCAAAAUGUUAAUCAAAUUACAUGGAAAGAAAGUACAUUAAGUUGAAGCAUAAUUCAAAAAUUUUCUCAGCAUUUAGCCAUUUGAAAUAAGAAAAACUGUAACAGCAAACACAGAAUGAGACAAAUUUAAAAAUUCACCGAUAAUAGUCCCAUUAAAAAAAGGUCCUUCCUGAAAGCUUACAGAAGCAUUUCUAAGGGUGCAUAAAUUCAAAUAUGUGCAAUGAUCAGCAACUUUGCCAGGCAGCACUGACAAUGGUUUAUUCAGAAAUAUACACAAUCAUGUCAUGAACAGAUACAUAUCCUACAAUUGCUAGACUAGAGUGGGGGUGUGGUAUCCAAGGCAACAGCUUAGCUUAAAAUUGCAGCGGUUUUGUCAAGCCAACUCUUAAUAACAUAAAUCAUGGCAAUUAUCUUUAAAAAGUUAGUGGAGCUGGCUGUGCAUUUGAAGGGAUACAUAGAUUUCAUGUUUUAUAUUUUAUACCACAAGAACUUACCAAGUCCAUGUGGAUGAGCUGUUCAAUGCGAGUAUCAGCAAAUAACUUCUUAGGUGCAAGUUGCACUCAGGCAUUCUGCAAAUCUGUCAGUUGGUUCAGUGCCUGAGAAACAGAGCUCACAUUUAAAUCUACAAGCCGAAAGAGAAAGACAUUCUUCCCCAGCAUUCUGAUAAUCAAAACGGGUACUAAUUUUAUGCCCUGCUCUUUUGCAUCAAUGACAAGGUUCUUAAGUUUCUUCAGUUCUUCUGUUAGAAAAGACAAAAGAGAGAGAUUUUAAAAGGAGGCUUGAAUGGUUGAGUCUCAUAUUGGCAGUAGAGGCAUUAUAGCCCGCCUAGUCUCUGAGACAAAGGACCAGUGCUGGCCUUGUAAGCUGCGCACAAUAACACAUAAGGUAGCAAUGCAUAGACAGAAAAUAAAGAGAAAAUUUAGAUUGCAAACCUUCAACGUAAAAAGAAUGCACCAAAUAGUUUAUGGUUCGAGACUAUUAUCUGAAUUCACUCUCUCUAUGGCUAGAGUCUAAAGGGCUAUCAUUUUUUAUAGGACUUGCCAAAAAUCACAGGAGAAAGCAACGUGGACUGAAACUCAAAUAAGUUAACAAAAAGAACUUUAUAGCCUGAGAAUCAGAGCCCAGAAUUGCUACAUACCAAAAGAAGUAUUUUGGUUGAACAAUAUAUGGAAUUAAUUUCAUUAAUAAAAAAGAUAGAAAUGAGAAGUAUUUGCACAAAAGAAAAGCAGCCAACAGAGUGAUUUGCCAGUAAAAAUAAGGAAGAAAAGUCAAGCCAAAUACAAAAAAAGGGUCAAAAGAUGGCAUUGGCUGGGGUAAUAAAGGGAUGACUUGAUGGCCUAAAUUAUAAUAUAAAGCAACACAAACUAAACCACUGGGAGAGAAAAGGAAUUAAUUAUAUGGAAAUAUGAUGUUCAAGUGUUUAAUGUUUACCAACAAAUAAGAACCAAAAGUUAUCCCCAUCUUUUGUGAACCAGAGCCCACGCACAAAGUAACAGAUGGUUCAUCUUUGUGAUAAUAAAGUAGUCUGGAAAUUAGAAUUCCUAUGUCCAAGCAUCCAAACAAUUCUUUCCAAUGGUACAGGAGGUAACCUAAUGCUGAAUUAUAGAACUAAACCUACAAUCAUACAUAUGAUACUAUGACAAACAAAUCCUACAUCUAAAAUUCCAUUUUCACAACUGCAUUUGAAACUUCAGCAGAUCCAUACCGAAGCCAGUCCUUGGCACACACCAGCGCUUCUACUGUCUCCGGACGCAAGGAAGUCCGGUACUCAUCCAGCUCUUUGUUCACAGUAUCAAAUACAGAAUUUGGACCAGCUGUAGAUACUGGAAUGGUUAAAAUAUCUCGAGCCAUCUUUGAAAGAGUUGGGUAUUUCAGCUUGUUCAGUUUCCACCAACUUAAUACAUCAAACUCUUGCACACGGGGCAAUAAUGACUCUUCCAAGUACUGAUCCAGUUCUGACUUCAUCUGCUGGCUAGUAGUCUCCAUGAUGAACAUAUCAAAAUCUGUGAGUCCAUUGUCUGACAGGAGGGUUCCCUGGUGGUCCUCUGUCCUCAUGUUGUUCUCAGUAUUUCCUUCAUCAGCAUAAGUUGGAGUUAGAGGCAAAGGAAGGGCCACAUAUUCAAGAAAGAGCUCAUGGAUCCCAUCAUCAACAAUCUUGAUAUAUGUGGGUGCAUCUUCGCCAUAAAGUUUCGAAAAACUGAAUUCCACAAGCUUCAUUUUGAAGCGGGGAUCCAUGACUACAGCAAUUGCCAAAACCAGGCUGCAAUCCUUCCAAUAUUUGCUGAUCUUUUCUUGCAUUGCUUUGGUAAUAACACUGAUAAAAGGAUCCUCACUUGCAACAGCACGAGCCAGAUCAGUCUGGAUCUUCCAUACUUCAUGGAAGAAUGUAAUCGCGGUUGGGCUAUUUGUGGAGGAGGUAAGGAUGUUGGCUGCAUCAUGAAGAGGUCUCAAAUAAGCACAUACAGUCUCGACCUGCCUCCAGUGUUCCAUGGAUGGGGCCUCUUUGUAAUCAGGAUCAGAAGUGUCCAAGCAAGAAAAUACUUCUUUUAGCUCAGAUGCAGCUACCAGCAUCAGAUAUGUUGUGUUCCAUUGAGAUUGAUCAUCUAGAGAUAGACUUCUUUCACUGGGCACCUGAAGUUGUUCCUUAAGCUCAACAAACUUUUCCUCAUGCGAUUCUGAAGUCUUUACAUAUUUUACACUGUCUCGGAUUUUCUUAACAACAUCCCGCCCAGCCCAUAACACAUCCUUCGCAAUGCUGCUUAAAGUAUGUGCAAUGCAGUUCCCAAUCAAUAAUUGACCAUUGAGAAUAAGGGGAUUUUUUAUGCAAAGCAGGGAUCUAAGACUUUCAAGGCCAGGUUCACCCACUGGAUGAUUGUAUGUAACAGAAAAUAGCUUGCCUUCCAAACUCCAAUCAGAAAGGCAACAAGCAACAGAAUGGCUCAGAGCAGUAUCUGAAUCAGGAUACGGUUCCAUCACAACAUUGAGAAUCCGCCUAUGUGGCUUCCAAUCACUAUCAAUGAAGUGUCCAGUUACAAAAACAUACCCUAAACUUUGACUUGAUGUCCACGUGUCCAAUGUAAGACAAACACGUCCAGGCAUUCCCUCAAUAAACUUCAUUACAUUUUGUUUUUCCCUCAAGUAAGUUGCAACACAAUCACCUUGGACAGUAUUGAAGCUCACCAUGCCAAAUCGGGGCUGAAGAUUUUGAACAAAAGUUACGAACCCACUAUGUUCAACCAUGUGAAGUGGGUAGUCAUGCAUGAUGAUCAUCUUAGCAAUUUCAUGACGGCAACGGUCUGCAUCAAACGAAAUGUAGGGUGAGCUAGGAGAACGGUAGCGACGUUUCGGUGUAUCAGAUGCAGUGCCAUUUCCACUUCCUGGGGUAUAUUGAUUCCCUUGAUUGCGUAGUAGUGCUGGGCAGGUUCCCUUGGCAAUGUGACGUUUGAGAUGGCUGGUGCCAGCUACUUUGGAACCUGUGCUAUAAGCAAAACUUUGCUUGCACUGAUUACAGCACGCUCUUCUACAUCCAGGACUUACAGUUUCUAUUGUAAAGUGUUCCCAGACUAUGGACUUCUUUUUCCUCCGCUUGUUAGGUUGUGCCUCUGGAGUAACCAUUACCAGAGCAUUGUUCUCUUCAGGUGUUGCCAUCUUGGCUCCAAAUGUGAAUGCCUACAGUAGCGAAGACGCGAUCUCCGUGCGAAAAAGAAGCUCGGAGACCAAGUUCCGACGGCCUGAGGAAGAUCUAGGUUUGGCAGCGGCCGAGGAGAGAAAAGAGAGAUUUGGGCUUCGAUUUCGAACCAACCCGAGAAGCUAAUUGGACCUAACAAGGAAAAUUUGGUAGGACUUGUUUGGUUAAGAGAUAAGGGACCGGGGUGGUUUUUGCGGGCGGAAGAAUUUCAAAGCAACAAGAUCUAAGAAGAGCAUGUGAUUUUUGGACUCUCAGUCCAUUUUUUU